RNAcentral lists this ribosomal RNA (400 nucleotides) under uncultured bacterium. RNAcentral's name for it is "bacterial SSU rRNA". It matches the Rfam family "Bacterial small subunit ribosomal RNA", at positions 418 to 810 of the family's 1533-position model. The record is from RNAcentral.
UCGGGUUGUAAAGCUCUGUUGUUAGGGACGAACCUGACGGUACCUAACUGCCCGGCUACUGACGGUACCUUGACAGAAAGCGCGGCUUACUACGUGCCAGCAGCCGCGGUAAUACUUACUGGGGCAAGCGUUAGCCGGAAUUAUUGGGCGUAAAGCGUGCGCAAGCCGUUUUUUAAGUCUGAUGUGAAAUCCCAAGGCUCAACCUCUAAAGUGCAUUGGAGACUGGUGGACUUCCUUGUGUAACAGGGAAGUGGAAUUCCAUGUGUAACAAUGAAAUGGGUAAAGAUGACUAGGAACACUGUAACUGAAGGUGGCUUUCUGGACCGUGACUGACGCUCAGGCUCAAAAGCCUGGGGAGCCCACACGAUUAAAUACCCUGGUAAUCCACGCCGUAAACGAU